UUCUUAGCUGGGGAUUCACCACCACCAGCGGCUAAGACGAAAGUGCUACUGGGGGAAUAAAGGAUGUAACAGCACACAAGUCGGUGGCGAAGAAAGAGCCGAUUCCUUGAACGUCUUUCGGGU
Molecule: non-coding RNA, 123 nt
Filed under: unclassified sequences
Description: Betaproteobacteria-1 RNA
Rfam family: Betaproteobacteria-1 RNA
Source: Rfam by way of RNAcentral